Molecule: transfer RNA, 73 nt
Filed under: Monodelphis domestica (gray short-tailed opossum)
Lineage: Eukaryota; Metazoa; Chordata; Mammalia; Didelphimorphia; Didelphidae
Rfam family: tRNA
About the family: Transfer RNA (tRNA) molecules are approximately 80 nucleotides in length. Their secondary structure includes four short double-helical elements and three loops (D, anti-codon, and T loops).
Source: Rfam by way of RNAcentral
AGCUGGGUAGCUCAGUGGAUUGAGAGCCAAUUCUAAAAAAUGGAGGUCCUAGGUUCAAAUCUAGCCCUAGCUG